RNAcentral lists this ribosomal RNA (427 nucleotides) under uncultured bacterium. Its description in RNAcentral is "bacterial SSU rRNA". It matches the Rfam family "Bacterial small subunit ribosomal RNA", at positions 64 to 507 of the family's 1533-position model. The record is from RNAcentral.
GAACGAGAAAGUGGAGCAAUCCAUGAGUAAAGUGGCGACCGGGUGAGUAACACGUGACCAAUCUACCCUGGAGUGGGGGAUAACCUCGGGAAACCGGGGCUAAUACCGCAUAACAUCCCUGGAUCGGAAGAACUGGGGAUCAAAGGAGUAAUUCGCUUGAGGAGGAGGUCGCGGCUGAUUAGCUAGUUGGCGGGGUAAUGGCCCACCAAGGCAAAGAUCGGUAGCCGGCCUGAGAGGGCGCACGGCCACACUGGAACUGAAACACGGUCCAGACUCCUACGGGAGGCAGCAGUGGGGAAUUUUGCGCAAUGGGGGAAACCCUGACGCAGCAACGCCGCGUGGAGGAUGAAGUCCCUUGGGACGUAAACUCCUUUCGACCCGGACGAUAAUGACGGUACGGGUGGAAGAAGCCCCGGCUAACUUCGUG